GGGGUUGUGGCUUAGAGGUAGAGCGCUCACCUAGUGAGUGUGAGGUGCUGGGUUUGAUCCUCAGCACCA
RNAcentral lists this transfer RNA (69 nucleotides) under Ictidomys tridecemlineatus (thirteen-lined ground squirrel). RNAcentral describes it as "Spermophilus tridecemlineatus (thirteen-lined ground squirrel) tRNA". It matches the Rfam family "tRNA". From Rfam's summary of the family: Transfer RNA (tRNA) molecules are approximately 80 nucleotides in length. Their secondary structure includes four short double-helical elements and three loops (D, anti-codon, and T loops). Lineage: Eukaryota; Metazoa; Chordata; Mammalia; Rodentia; Sciuridae. The record is from Rfam by way of RNAcentral.